UAAGACUUGUGUUGGACACACUCGAAGGUGACCUCCCCAAUAAUCCCACCGUCUGGUAUCAUACUCUUGAACAGUCCCUCCCUGUGAUGGUGAGCAGACAUGUGAUUUGCUUCUAAUCAACAUUGUAUGAUAAAAGGUGAUGGGAUAUCACUCCAUGAUUCCAUUAUAUGAUGUAAGACUCCAUCUUGCUAUCAAACUCACCUAACAGACUGUCUCUCCCUACCUGACAGUGAAGGAAUAAGCAGCCAUGAUGGGAGACCCAUAGGGCUUUCUUGCCAAGAAGCUGAAGGCAGCCUCAAGGGCCUGAGGGCAGUCGACAGCCUGCAGGAAGCUGGAACCCUCAGUCCUACAACCACAAGGAAAUGAGUUCUGCCAACAACCUGAGUGAACUCAGAAGCAGAUUCUUCCCUGGAUGAGCUUCCAGCUUAUUACAGCUAAAGGAUACAGAUUAAAAUCGGCAGCAGAAAAAGAUGCGUAAAGCAGAGUGCAAGACACACCAGGCGUAGGCUUCCAGUUGUCCUCUCCAGUGGAGUCCUGUGGACAGCACUUAAUUCUCCAGCCAUGUUUUACAGAUUGACAGACUGAGAGAACAGCCAGGAGCAUCAUCUCUACCUGGACCCAAUAUAGAUGAUGAUGGCAUUCUUUGACUUCUAGUAGAUACUACAUUGGGAUGAGUCUCUUAGAGAGCUUAGGAAGGAGUGAAUGUAUUUUUGCACAUGGAAGGGAUUAGAUUGAGAUGGACAGAUGCUAAGCUAUCUUCCCAAAUCCCCUCCCCUUGGUAGUAACACCUUUGUUUAAUCCCCCUCCUUGAGUAUGAAGACCUCUGACUUGCUUUUAACCAACGGAAUAGGAUGAGGGUGACGGGACGUUACUCCCAUUGUCGUGUUACAUUAUAAAAAACUCCAUCUUGCUAGCAGGCACACUCUGGGAACUUUCUCCUUUGUUGGAUGUGAGGAAACAAAAGGCCAUGUUAGAAAAUUCUAAGUGGCAAGAAACUGCAGCUAGCCUCUAUGAGCUGAGGAUGCCUUGAGUCAACAAUCAGGAAAAAACUAAAGCUCUCAGUUCUACAUCCCCAAGAAGCUAGAUGUUGCCAAACACCACAAAUGGGAAGUGGAUUUUUCCCCAGUGGAACCUCCAGAUGACAACCCCAGUCCUGGCCAACACCUUAACUGCAGCCUUGUGAGACCUGAAGCAGAGGGCUCAGCUAAGCCAUGUCAGUUCUCCUCACCCAAAGAAACUUGAGAUAAUAAAUGUGUGUUGUU
Molecule: long non-coding RNA, 1262 nt
Organism: Canis lupus familiaris (dog)
Lineage: Eukaryota; Metazoa; Chordata; Mammalia; Carnivora; Canidae
Exons: 3
Source: RefSeq, a predicted model, not a curated record